RNAcentral lists this ribosomal RNA (233 nucleotides) under uncultured Candidatus Saccharibacteria bacterium. RNAcentral describes it as "partial 16S ribosomal RNA". It matches the Rfam family "Bacterial small subunit ribosomal RNA", at positions 584 to 818 of the family's 1533-position model. Lineage: Bacteria; Candidatus Saccharimonadota. The record is from RNAcentral.
CAAGCGAAUAGUGAAAUCACAUGGCUCAACCUUCAGACUAUUAUUCAAACUCGUAUGCUCGAGAAUGGUAGAGGUAGCUGGAAUUUCUAGUGUAGGAGUGAAAUCCGUAGAUAUUAGAAGGAACACCAAUGGCGUAGGCAGGCUACUGGACCAUUUCUGACACUAAGGCACGAAAGCGUGGGAGCGAACCGGAUUAGAUACCCGGGUAGUCACGCCGUAAACGAUGGAUACUA